Molecule: long non-coding RNA, 317 nt
Filed under: Vulpes vulpes (red fox)
Lineage: Eukaryota; Metazoa; Chordata; Mammalia; Carnivora; Canidae
Description: lncRNA (ENSVVUG00000021693.1)
Source: RNAcentral
CAGGCCCCUCCUCGCCCCCCCUCUUCCCAGCCCUUGGUUGCUAUGCAGUUUCUAUGGCAGCAGCAUCCUCAGACCCAACUUGCACCCAUCAUUUAGAGCCAAUUAAGUACUUGAACAGAAGGAAAGGAAAGUUUUAAAAAAUGCCGAUCGCACAGUUGCUGGAGCUAUGGAAGAAGAUCGAGGUGGAGCCCAUGGAGAUAGAGACCACCGAGGAGGAUCUUAACCUGGACGCAGAACCCGCCGCAGAAGAUACCGUGGAAGAAGAACCUUAUGAUGUGGUGUGCAUGGUGGUGGAGGCAGUGCUGUGGAGUUCAGGC